GGGCGAGUGGUGGAACUGGCAGACACGUACGGUUCAGGGCCGUAUGGACGCAAGUCCGUGGAGGUUCAAAUCCUCUCUCGCCCA
RNAcentral lists this transfer RNA (84 nucleotides) under Candidatus Yanofskybacteria bacterium RIFCSPHIGHO2_01_FULL_43_42. RNAcentral describes it as "tRNA-Leu". It matches the Rfam family "tRNA". Rfam says of the family: Transfer RNA (tRNA) molecules are approximately 80 nucleotides in length. Their secondary structure includes four short double-helical elements and three loops (D, anti-codon, and T loops). Further hydrogen bonds mediate the characteristic L-shaped molecular structure. tRNAs have two regions of fundamental functional importance: the anti-codon, which is responsible for specific mRNA codon recognition, and the 3' end, to which the tRNAs corresponding amino acid is attached (by aminoacyl-tRNA synthetases). tRNAs cope with the degeneracy of the genetic code in two manners: having more than one tRNA (with a specific anti-codon) for a particular amino acid; and 'wobble' base-pairing, i.e. permitting non-standard base-pairing at the 3rd anti-codon position. RNAcentral also lists the same sequence under 2 other names. Lineage: Bacteria; Candidatus Yanofskyibacteriota. The record is from RNAcentral.